GCCCGUUUGGCUCAGUGGAUAGAGCUUUGACCUGCAAACUGAAAGGUCCUGGGUUCGAGUCCCAUCAAGGGCA
This 73-nucleotide transfer RNA is filed under the name Myotis davidii. It matches the Rfam family "tRNA". From Rfam's summary of the family: Transfer RNA (tRNA) molecules are approximately 80 nucleotides in length. Their secondary structure includes four short double-helical elements and three loops (D, anti-codon, and T loops). The record is from Rfam by way of RNAcentral. Lineage: Eukaryota; Metazoa; Chordata; Mammalia; Chiroptera; Vespertilionidae.